UAGUGGAAGCGUCUGGAAAGGCGCGCGAUACAGGGUGACAGCCCCGUACACAAAAGCGCAUGUGCUGUGAGCUCGAUGAGUAGGGCGGGACACGUGGUAUCCUGUCUGAAUAUGGGGGGACCAUCCUCCAAGGCUAAAUACUCCUGACUGACCGAUAGUGAACCAGUACCGUGAGGGAAAGGCGAAAAGAACCCCGGCGAGGGGAGUGAAAAAGAACCUGAAACCGUGUACGUACAAGCAGUGGGAGCACCCUUUGGGGUGUGACUGCGUACCUUUUGUAUAAUGGGUCAGCGACUUAUAUUCUGUAGCAAGGUUAACCGAAUAGGGGAGCCGGAGGGAAACCGAGUCUUAAUUGGGCGUUAAGUUGCAGGGUAUAGACCCGAAACCCGGUGAUCUAGCCAUGGGCAGGUUGAAGGUUGGGUAACACUAACUGGAGGACCGAACCGACUAAUGUUGAAAAAUUAGCGGAUGACCUGUGGCUGGGGGUGAAAGGCCAAUCAAACCGGGAGAUAGCUGGUUCUCCCCGAAAGCUAUUUAGGUAGCGCCUCGUGAAUUCAUCUCCGGGGGUAGAGCACUGUUUCGGCUAGGGGGCCAUCCCGGCUUACCAACCCGAUGCAAACUGCGAAUACCGGAGAAUGUUAUCACGGGAGACACACGGCGGGUGCUAACGUCCGUCGUGAAGAGGGAAACAACCCAGACCGCCAGCUAAGGUCCCAAAGUCAUGGUUAAGUGGGAAACGAUGUGGGAAGGCCCAGACAGCCAGGAUGUUGGCUUAGAAGCAGCCAUCAUUUAAAGAAAGCGUAAUAGCUCACUGGUCGAGUCGGCCUGCGCGGAAGAUGUAACGGGGCUAAACCAUG
This 857-nucleotide ribosomal RNA is filed under the name Salmonella enterica. Its description in RNAcentral is "partial 23S ribosomal RNA". It matches the Rfam family "Bacterial large subunit ribosomal RNA", at positions 330 to 1191 of the family's 2925-position model. The record is from RNAcentral. Lineage: Bacteria; Pseudomonadati; Pseudomonadota; Gammaproteobacteria; Enterobacterales; Enterobacteriaceae.